This 100-nucleotide small RNA is filed under the name Mesoflavibacter zeaxanthinifaciens subsp. sabulilitoris. RNAcentral's name for it is "Flavo-1 RNA". It matches the Rfam family "Flavo-1 RNA". Lineage: Bacteria; Pseudomonadati; Bacteroidota; Flavobacteriia; Flavobacteriales; Flavobacteriaceae. The record is from RNAcentral.
AAGUAGCGUUAGGGAUAGAAGCGGCAUCCUUUUUAUUGUCACAUUGAGCGCAGUCGAAAUGUAAGACAAUAAAAAGAUAUAGCGAAUAGCCCGUUAAAAC